This is a long non-coding RNA of Sinocyclocheilus grahami, 325 nucleotides long. RefSeq lists it as uncharacterized. Lineage: Eukaryota; Metazoa; Chordata; Actinopteri; Cypriniformes; Cyprinidae. The transcript is spliced from 3 exons. The record is from RefSeq and is a predicted model, not a curated record.
AAUUUUGUGAUGCAUUUUAUUAGACUGAAUCAUGCCGUGAAAGAACGCACUCUAAAUGCGCACGCGCACUAAUCUAACCUAAUAGACUUCACGUCAUGUGUGCGUGCACUCUCUGUAGGUAACCGCCCCCUUGGAUUGAACCCUAGUAAACUUCUGUACAUGGUCUCAGAUCUGAAGCUGCUGUCUGAGUAUGUUGGAGUCCCUAUGUUUUCAUCUUCAAGCCUUUCUGAGAAAGGAGAGAAGUGGAUGGGGCAAACCCACAGCCACAAUGUGAUCACUACUUCUCCCUGCUCUGUCUAUUUGAACAACUUCUAAAUAAAAUGUU